This is an RNA transcript of Carya illinoinensis, 6456 nucleotides long. It is a transcript of the gene named disease resistance protein RPV1-like, with no coding region annotated. Lineage: Eukaryota; Viridiplantae; Streptophyta; Magnoliopsida; Fagales; Juglandaceae. The transcript has 9 exons. The record is from RefSeq and is a predicted model, not a curated record.
ACAAACUCAAAGGAACAUCCCCAGUACUCUCCUUUCUUUGACCCACAUCUCCAUAAUUGCUCCUCUCUUGUGAAACAUUUAUCACACAUACAGAGAAGAUGACCACUUCUUCCAUGGCCUUACAAGGAGCUUCUUCCUCUCUCCAGUCCUCCUCUUCUUCCGUACAUCCGUGGACUCACGAUAUAUUCUUGAGCUUUAGAGGUGAAGAUGUUCGCCAAAAUUUUAUUUCUCAUCUAUACUAUGCUUUGAAUAAAAGAGGAAUCAACACUUAUAUAGAUGAUGAGCUCGAAAGAGGAGAGGAAAUCUCGCAAGCACUUUUUCAAGCUAUCGAAGGGUCAAUGAUUUCUAUCAUUGUACUAUCUAAAAACUAUGCAGAAUCUAGAUGGUGCUUGAAUGAACUAUUGAAGAUCCUUGAGUGUAUGGAACCAGUAAAACAAAAAGUUCUACCCUUAUUUUACAACGUAGAUCCAUCAGAUGUAAGACAUCAAAAAGGAAGUUUUGGAGAAGGAUUCGCUAAACUUAAAGACAGGUUCAAGGGCAAUGAAGAAGUGCUGAAGUGGAAGGCAGCUUUAGAAAACCUAGCCAAUAUGUCGGGGGUUGAAUUAAAGAAUUACAGGAAAGAGUCAGAAUUUAUUGAGGAAAUCAUUCAAUGGGUCAACUCAAGAAUAGUAAACCAAACACCUCUAAACGUUGCCAAGUAUCUAGUUGGGAUAAAGUGUCGUAAGCGAGAUAUUUAUCAGCAUUUAAGUAUUGAAAGGAAUGAUAUUAUACAUAUUGUAGGGAUAUUUGGUAUCGGUGGAAUUGGUAAGACGACUAUUUCAAAAGAUAUCUAUAACCAGAUUUACUCUCAAUUUGAAGGAAGUUGUUUCUUGAAAAACGUUAGAGAAACUUCAAAACAAGUAGGAGGUCUGAUUAAGCUGCAAGAAAUACUUCUUUUCGAGAUCUUAGGGAAAAAACUAGAUAUUUAUGAUGCUGAUAGAGGAAUGAAUGUGAUUAAGCACAGACUUUGCUCUAAAAGAGUUCUACUAAUUCUUGAUGAUGUGGAUGAGUUGGUCCAAAUUGAAAAAUUAGUUGGAGAUCGCAAUUGGUUUGGUUUGGGAAGUAGAAUUAUCAUAACAACGAGAGAUCAACGUUUACUAGAUAAUGCUAAAGUUGAUUCAAAACAUGAGGUGAUGAUUUUGGAUGACAGUGAAGCUCUUCAACUCUUUAGCUUGCAUGCUGUUGGGAAAGAUGAACCACUUGAUGAGUAUGUGGAACUCUCUAAACAAGUAAUAAAAUAUGCUCAGGGCCUUCCACUGGCUUUAACAGUGCUAGGAUCGGAUCUAAAAGGUCAAAAUAAACCUCAAUGGAAGAGUGCAUUGGAAAAGUAUAAAAGCAUUCCCCACAAAAAUAUUCAAAGUGUACUUCGAAUAAGUUAUGAUGAUUUAGAAGAUACUGAGAAGGAAAUGUUCCUUGAUAUUGCCUUUUUCUUUAAGGGAGAACCUUUGGCUAAUAUCUGGAAAAUAUUUGACAGUUAUAAUUAUUUUCCAGAUCAUGGUAUUGACAAGCUUAUAAAAAAGUGCCUUAUUACUAUUGAAGAUAAAUAUGUUUGGAUGUAUGACUUGUUACAAGAUAUGGGUCGAGAAAUUGUUCGACUAGAAUCACCCCUUGAACCUGGUGAACGUAGUAGACUCUGGUUUCACAAAGAUAUCCGUGGAGUGUUGGAAGAAGGCACGGGCACAAACAAAAUUGCAGGGAUGAUAAUAGAAAUGCCCAAAGGCGAGGAUGCGAUAAGCUUGGAUCCUGAAGCAUUUGUACGGAUGAAAAAACUUAGAGUGCUUUUCAUUCGUAAUGCAAGUUUUUCAGGUGGACCUAAUUAUCUAUCCAACGAGUUAAGAGUACUUGAUUGGGUUGAAUAUCCGCUACAAUCUUUGCCACCUAAUUUCCAUGGAAAUAAACUCAUUAUCUUUAAAAUGCGUCUUGGCUUCAUCAGGGAGUUAGGCUUCAUCUGGGAGUUUAAGAAUAUGACAAGUAUGGAAUUCCAUAAUUGUAAUUUCUUAACAAAACUUCCAGAUGUUUCAAGCAUUCCAAAUUUGAACAAAUUGAUUGUCAGAAGAUGUACAAGUUUAGUUGAGGUGCAUGAUUCUGUCGGAUCCUUAGAGAAUCUUUGUCAAUUGGAUUUUUCCGGAUGCUCUAACCUCAGAAUUCUUCCAGCAAGCCUCAAGUUGAGAUCUUUACAUGACCUUUUUCUUAGUGAUUGCUCAAGCCUUCGUAGCUUUCCUGAAAUUGGUUGUGAAAUGAAAUAUUUACGGCAAUUAUCUCUAUAUCGCACUGCAGUGGAAGAACUACCUUUAUCCAUUGGCAAUCUUACUGGACUUCUUGUAUUAAUUCUACAAGGCUGCAAAAACCUUAAGCGUCUAGUGAAGAAGAUGGGGUAUGAUGGACAAUCCAUUCUAGCUAUUGGGUCUACAACAAUGGAAGACGAGAUUUCAUCGAAUGAAGAACAACUCCAGGAAUUGGCGCCUCCAACGAAUUCAAGCAAUGGAAGCAGUGCAUUACAAGUGUUGAAUCAUCCGAAUUGUUUACAAUCAGAAUCAAAUUUCUUUCCAAUAUCAAGUUUGUUUACCAUGUUUUAUUCUUUAGACACAUUAACUCAAUUAGAUCUAUUGAAGAGUGAAAUUGUUAGCCUUCCCACAAGCAUAAGAGGAUUUGUUGCACUUAGAGAGCUCUACUUGUGGGAUUGCGUGAAACUUGAAGAAAUCUUAGAGCUUCCACCAAAUAUAGAAUUUGUAGAGGCUAUGGGAUGCGAGUCGUUAGAAAGAUUUCCAGAAGUAUCAAGAAUAAUGGAAUUCAAUGGAAGCUACAUUAGAUCGCUAUGUCGUAUUGAGUUGAAUGGCUGCAACAAAAUGAAUGAGAAGAUUUGGAAUUAUAAAGUGCCAAAUCCAUUACUGUGGAAGGUAUCGAAUAAAUGAUUUAGAAUCAUCUAAGCUAAAGGUACCUUCAACUUCCUAGUGAUAGUGCUCUUUUGCGGAUGCCAUAUUAUAGGAGUUAGGGAGCCAAUAUUGUAUACAAGCAUGAAAGCAGAGCACAUAAAAGAAGAAAAUUGGAUUGAAUUAAAUGAUAGGCCAAGUGGCCUUUUGCUACUAUUUCUUUGGAAUUUCAGUUGUAGCAGGAUUUUUCAGUCCAUCCAAAUCAAAGGACAGAGAAAAAACUAAACACAGGGUGUUUGAUGAAAUGCCUCAGUUAACUUGAGAGCAUGGAUAGUCUACUGUUUCUAUUUAUAAUAUGUAUUGCAUCAAUAUAAGAGACAUUGUACCGUUGGAGACUUGUGUCUAUACAAGGUAACUUGCGGAAAUGAAAUCAUACAAAGUUGAAAAAGUUAGAAUCAGCCAUUGCAUGGAUUGGGGUUGCCAUAUGGGUGACUGGGAGAAUCUUUAGCAAAUGGAGAUGCGUUAGCCGUUGUGGCUAUCGCCUUGAGAGAUGGAUCUUCAUUUGUCGUGGAGGCACACCUUUGCAACAGAUCAAGGAGGCCCAUCAGAAAUUAUUGUUGGGGGAAUCUCAGGCUUUCACAUUGACCCCUGUAAUGAUGAUGAAUUGAGCCACAAGAUUGCUGAUUUCUUUGAAAUGUGCAAGGCGGAUCCUGAAAAUUGGAACAAGAUCUCCAAAGCUAGUCUUCGGCGUAUAAAUGAAUGCUACACAUGAAAGAGUUGUGCGAACAAGCUGCUGAACAUGGGAGCAGUGCAUGGAUUUUGGAGGCUGAUGAACAAGAAACAAAAGUUAGCUAAACAAAAGCAUAUCGACAUGUUUUACAAUCUCCAGUUUAGGAAUUUCGUGACUUUUUACAACUAUUUUUAGACAUAUUGAAAUCAUAAACAUUUUAUAGAGUUCUAUUCAUUGUAUCACAGGCGAGGAGUUUGCUCAUCCCAAGGGAAGAACCCCAACAAACAACACCAGCUGCGACGUCUAAAGCCUAAACAACCAUCGGCAACAUUGACAACUGUAUCCCAGUCCAGACCAAGGCAUAUAAGCUAACUCUUAAGAAAAUUUAAUUUUUUUAAAAAAAAAGUUAUUGAACAAAAGUUAUUUGACCUCCUUCCAUGGUUGUAAGUUAUGCAGAAGGGGGCAUAGAACCGGUUAGAAGAAAUUAGUUUUCAUGUUUUUUCUAGUGCAGAUUUGACUGUUGGAAAUUAAAAUUCAAAGGAUCCUUUAUGCAACAAAUAGUCCUUUUAAAUAGUAAGAGAGGAAAUGCAAUAAAUGGGUAAAUGAGUGGUCAUAAUAAAGUGAAAAGGUUGGAAUUGGAGGCACAUCAUUCUUGGUUCUCUGUCUUUUAAUUUAUUACCUCCCAUAUGAAACUAUCUUUUGUUCAUAUAGCUAAAGUGAAAGUAAGAUGUAGUGAGGAAAUAUAUCACGAAAUACAGAAAAUGUAUAUUGUCAGGGAAGCAAGUCAUUAGAAGGAUUUUGAGAAUUAUGAAGAAUAUUGGAAUUCAAGGGAAGCCAUAUCAGAUUGCUAUAUUGUAUUAUCUUGAGUGGCGGCAACAAAAUGUAUGAGAAGAUUUGGAGUUAUAAAGCGCCAGAUUCGUUACUGUGGAAGGUAACAAGAUUCUUGAGGAUUAGAGGAUAUUUGGCAGACAAGAAUAAACCAAUCAUCUUCUUGAUGGCACGACUUGAUACAGUGAAAAUCAUUACUGGACUGAUUGAAUGGUAUGUAAAGAAUGAGAAGCUAAGAUCGAAGUUUGGUAAAUCAUUGAAUUUCUAAGAUAAGUUUCCAUGGCAGGUGCAUAUAACUAACAAUGGCCUCAUCUAAAACUAACUUUGAACCAGAAUAUGUUGGUGCAACAUGGGCUGCAAAAAUAGUACAGACAGAGUAAGAGAAAAGAGUUUCUUUCAAAGUGUGUUACAAUAUCCUUUUUCACGUGUGGACACAAGCAAGAUAGCCCCCCAUGAACUUGGUGUCUAAAGUUCGAUAAACAUACUCCUUCACAUAUCCAUUACUUCUAUGAACUUUGCUUAAAGAAAUAUUGACUUGUUAUCUAGGAUAUAUUGUUGUGCCAUGUUGAUACCAAUUUAUAUUAUGGUAUAGUGACUUUAUCAUAGAACUACACUCUUUAGACUUCAACAAAAUAUGAUAUUCAAGACUUAAUUGUAUCUUUGCCACUGAAAUUAAGGUUUUCAUUUGGGAUUUGAUGUUAAGACUCCCUUAAUCUACACAGGUUGCAUGUGUAGUUGCAGCAUUCAGUUGUAACACUUCACUAUUGAAAAUCCUUAAGUGUAUCAUGAAAACAAUAAAACAAAUUUUUGUACACCUAUUUUACCAUGUAGAUCUAUCAGAUAUAAGACAUCAAAAAGAAAAUUUUGGAGAAGCAUUCGCUAAACUUAAAAAUAGGUUCGAGUGCAAUGAAGAAGUGCUGAAGUGGGACGCAACUUUAGAAAAGCUAGCCAAUAGGUUGGGGGUCAAAUUAAAGAAUUACAGGUACUUUUGAUUUCUUCGAAUAUAUAAAUAUAGAUAUGUGUGUGUGUGUGUGAUGUUAAAGCGAACUUUAUGAACAAAACUCAGAAAAUUCCAGCAUUGAUAAAAAUAUGGUACACCGCAUUACUUGGAGAAACUGUGAACAAGAAAAAUACAAAUUUAAAUCUAGGAAUAGAGGAAUAUAUGCAAUUUCGUCGUCCAUAAAACAACUAAAUGAGGUGGAAAAAAAUAUAAUUGAGAAAAAGGAUGGGGAUUUUUGUAUUUCUUAUGAAGUGGAAUCAUACCCUCAUAAGAAAAAUAAAACAACUUUAAAUAAGCAGUACUGCUUUUUAGAUAAUUUGUUUCGAUACAUAAAUAUUGAUAUUUAGUUAUUACACGGUGUUGGCCUUCCAAGCACGUGCAUGUAGGCUGCUUUCUGGAUUGAUGGAACCAAACAAGCUGUCCACUUUUAAUUAAUUAAUUAAUUAAGAGAGGAAACGCAAUAAAUGGGUAAAUGAGUGAUCACAAAAAAGUGAAAAGGCUGGAAUUGGAGGCGCUUCAUUCUUGGUUCUCUACUUCUUUUAAUUUAUUACCUCCCAAUAUGAAACUUUAUCUUUUGUUCAUAUAGUUAAACUGUAUCUCAUUUUCAAUCUUGAUAGAUCAAAACACAGAAGAAAACUAGAGCAUUUUAAAAUUAUGACUGGGAUCCAUGAUAACAAAGGCAGCUUGGGAACUGGGAUGUAUUUUAACGUAUACUUAUCGAAAUGUCUCUGUAUUUUGCUCAACAGUCCACUUGUCAUUCUUCAGAGUUUCAAGCCCUCCUCCUCUAAUGAAGAGUUUCUUUAGGCUAUCCAUUUUGCUAGGUACCAACCAAUCAGGUAUCUUUGUCUCUGGGCAACUCCAACUUCUCAAGAAGCUCCAGAAUUUGGUAACUACUCUUUGUUGUCAACUUGGAAGCUUGUUAAUUCUAGAGAUCCCUUGAAGACUAAGAAGCCUUAACUCUUUCAUACUCUUCAACCCUUCUAAGAAUU